Molecule: ribosomal RNA, 740 nt
Filed under: uncultured bacterium
Lineage: Bacteria
Description: bacterial SSU rRNA
Rfam family: Bacterial small subunit ribosomal RNA
Source: RNAcentral
ACCGAUGAAGGAGUUUUCGGACAACGGAAUCGGUUACUUAGUGGCGGACUGGUGAGUAACGCGUGAGGAACCUGCCUUUCAGUGGGGGACAACGGUUGGAAACGACUGCUAAUACCGCAUAAUGUAUUGUGGGGACAUCCCCGCAGUACCAAAGAUUUAUCGCUGAAAGAUGGCCUCGCGUCUGAUUAGCUUGUUGGUGGGGUAACGGCUCACCAAGGCGACGAUCAGUAGCCGGACUGAGAGGUUGACCGGCCACAUUGGGACUGAGAUACGGCCCAGACUCCUACGGGAGGCAGCAGUGGGGAAUAUUGGGCAAUGGACGCAAGUCUGACCCAGCAACGCCGCGUGAAGGAAGAAGGCUUUCGGGUUGUAAACUUCUUUUAAGGGGGAAGAGCGGAAGACGGUACCCCUUGAAUAAGCCACGGCUAACUACGUGCCAGCAGCCGCGGUAAUACGUAGGUGGCGAGCGUUGUCCGGAUUUACUGGGUGUAAAGGGCGUGCAGCCGGGUCUGCAAGUCAGAUGUGAAAUCCACGGGCUUAACCCGUGAACUGCAUUUGAAACUGCGGGUCUUGAGUAUCGGAGAGGUAAUCGGAAUUCCUGGUGUAGCGGUGAAAUGCGUAGAUAUCAGGAAGAACACCAGUGGCGAAGGCGGAUUACUGGACGACAACUGACGGUGAGGCGCGAAAGCGUGGGGAGCAAACAGGAUUAGAUACCCUGGUAGUCCACGCUGUAAACGAUC